RNAcentral lists this ribosomal RNA (478 nucleotides) under uncultured bacterium. Its description in RNAcentral is "bacterial SSU rRNA". It matches the Rfam family "Bacterial small subunit ribosomal RNA", at positions 28 to 483 of the family's 1533-position model. The record is from RNAcentral.
AAUCAACGCUGGCGGCGUGCCUAACACAUGCAAGUCGAACGCGACUGGGGCUUCGGCCUCAGUUGAGUGGCGAACGGGUGAGUAACACGUGGGUGACCUACCUUCGAAUGGGGGAUAACGUCCCGAAAGGGACGCUAAUACCGCAUAACAUCCCGCCUUUGAACAGGCGGAGAUCAAAGCCGGGGAUCGCAAGACCUGGCGUUUGAAGAGGGGCCCGCGUCCGAUUAGCUAGUUGGUGAGGUAACGGCUCACCAAGGCGACGAUCGGUAGCCGGCCUGAGAGGGCGGACGGCCACACUGGGACUGAGACACGGUCCGGACUCCUACGGGAGGCAGCAGUGGGGAAUCUUGCGCAAUGGGCGAAAGCCUGACGCAGCAACGCCGCGUGGAGGAUGAAGGCCCUUGGGGUUAGUAAACUCCUGUCGGCGUGGGAAGAAGUCGUGCGGUGCUCAUACCACCGUGCGUUGACUGUACCAGAC